RNAcentral lists this ribosomal RNA (893 nucleotides) under Chaetomium nepalense. RNAcentral's name for it is "LSU rRNA". It matches the Rfam family "Eukaryotic large subunit ribosomal RNA", at positions 38 to 963 of the family's 3401-position model. The record is from RNAcentral. Lineage: Eukaryota; Fungi; Ascomycota; Sordariomycetes; Sordariales; Chaetomiaceae.
GCAUAUCAAUAAGCGGAGGAAAAGAAACCAACAGGGAUUGCCCUAGUAACGGCGAGUGAAGCGGCAACAGCUCAAAUUUGAAAUCUGGCUUCGGCCCGAGUUGUAAUUUGCAGAGGAAGCUUUAGGCGCGGCACCUUCUGAGUCCCCUGGAACGGGGCGCCAUAGAGGGUGAGAGCCCCGUAUAGUUGGAUGCCUAGCCUGUGUAAAGCUCCUUCGACGAGUCGAGUAGUUUGGGAAUGCUGCUCAAAAUGGGAGGUAAAUUUCUUCUAAAGCUAAAUACCGGCCAGAGACCGAUAGCGCACAAGUAGAGUGAUCGAAAGAUGAAAAGCACUUUGAAAAGAGGGUUAAAUAGCACGUGAAAUUGUUGAAAGGGAAGCGCUUGUGACCAGACUUGCGCCGGGCGGAUCAUCCGGUGUUCUCACCGGUGCACUCCGCCCGGCUCAGGCCAGCAUCGGUUCUCGCGGGGGGAUAAAGGUCCCGGGAACGUGGCUCCUCCGGGAGUGUUAUAGCCCGGGGCGUAAUGCCCUCGCGGGGACCGAGGUUCGCGCAUCUGCAAGGAUGCUGGCGUAAUGGUCAUCAGCGACCCGUCUUGAAACACGGACCAAGGAGUCAAGGUUUUGCGCGAGUGUUUGGGUGUAAAACCCGCACGCGUAAUGAAAGUGAACGUAGGUGAGAGCUUCGGCGCAUCAUCGACCGAUCCUGAUGUUUUCGGAUGGAUUUGAGUAGGAGCGUUAAGCCUUGGACCCGAAAGAUGGUGAACUAUGCUUGGAUAGGGUGAAGCCAGAGGAAACUCUGGUGGAGGCUCGCAGCGGUUCUGACGUGCAAAUCGAUCGUCAAAUCUGAGCAUGGGGGGCGAAAGACUAAUCGAACCAUCUAGUAGCUGGUUACCGCCG